CCCCAACAGAAGACUCACUCUGGAUCAAAGGCUUUAUUUCAUUUUAUUCACAGUUAUUGGGUACCAGGUUUGGAAUAUAUUAAGAAAGAAAGAACCGCCUUAUUGGACUCCUGAGCUUCCAGGUACCAGGUUUGGAAUAUAUUAAGAAAGAAAGAACCGUCUUAUUGAACUCCUGAACUUCCAGGUA
Molecule: long non-coding RNA, 187 nt
Organism: Pecten maximus
Lineage: Eukaryota; Metazoa; Mollusca; Bivalvia; Pectinida; Pectinidae
Exons: 3
Source: RefSeq, a predicted model, not a curated record